GAAGAAAUAUGGUCAAGAUUUUAAAGCUAUCUAUAGAAAUUAAGGCAUAAUUAUGAAAUGAAGGACUUGUUAGAAUUUUUGUUGGAGUAGAGAGAUCAACUGAUCAAGCGCUACGGGGUUUGUGUAGCGGGUCACAGUUACGGGGCGUGCGGAUCUACCAUGACCCGAACUGGAUCGUUCUCAUCUAGCAUCUCAUUUGCUCGAGACGUUGCGGGCUUCGAUUUCAAUCUGGAGAGGAUAACUUGACCAUUACAGAGAAAAAAAUCGUAUAAGGUGGGCGUAACAAUGAGACAGCAGGGUCAAUAUUCUGAUUCAGGACUUGGCUCAUAUUCAGUUUCUCAAAUGCAUCAAGUUCCCAGUCAAAGGAUGGAACAAAGCCACCCUGAUCCUUUUGAAGGACGGCUGGAAGCCUUCACUCCAGAGAGAGAGAAUUCAUAUCUAGCUUCAAAAAAUGAGGAUCAAUGGAGAUGGGAAAGAGAUGAGUCGAAGAUGCCAAAUUCCAUGGCCUCUCACAUGUUCAACGAAGGUCAAGGGGGUGAUCUCAGAAGAUCAUACUUUCAAGGUCAGAGACCAAAUCCAAAAUUGGUUCUUGAGAAAGGAAGCAACAGCGAUCUCAGAUUUCAAUCCCAUGGAAAAAACAUGGAAAGUAGGUUUGGAGAUGGCCUGCUGCCACAGAAUUUUGACGGUCUCGAGCAGAAAUUCAUUGAUGACAUCAUUAACUUUUCCAAGGAACAAAAUGAUGCAGAGGAUGAGGAAAAUGCUCGACAUAGAGAGAGAAUUAUCGCUAUCAAUUCUCAGUACGAGGAGCAAUUAGCAGCACUUCGAGCUCAGCAUGCUGGUCGUCGUGAUGAGCUGCUACGAAGGGAAUCAAGUGCACGGCACCAUCAGUAUCAGAAGGGAAUAAGGGACCAUUACCCCAAUGGGGGCAUUGGCCCAGGUAAUCCUCGUGGCAGUAGUGGAGUUACAACCUUAGCUGCUUCUGGACGAGCACAUCAAAAUUAUGAAUCUGAACACUUCAAUUCCUACAGAGAAUGAACUCGGUUUCUUGGGAAUUCUAUGCGGAAUUCUAAUUUGGAUUCGAGUUUAUGACACUGGCUCACGGUUAGGUUCCAAUGGCAACAUCACGUGGCAUGUGAGCACAUAUCCAUUGCCUCCAGAUCUUGACCAGCAAUUGCAAUACGGUGGUCUCACUUUUCUGUCUCUCUUCUUUUGUGUUAUUAUUAUCAAUGAUAUCUGUUAGGGCCUUGCUCUGAAACUGCCUGCUCAAUAUUCACAGCAUACACACUUUUACUUGCUGGGAAAAAGAAAUCAUGUUGUUCUUCGCUUUAAUAUUUCACUUUGUUAGUGAUUCUGUUAGAAUUGGAUGCCAUUCCCUUUCUCAUUCGCCUGGGUUUGGUUUGGUUUCCUUGAAGCCAAAUAGAAUCCUACCUUCAUUCCCAAAUAAAGUUACUGGUGUUUAAGGAUUGAUUA
Molecule: non-coding RNA, 1470 nt
Organism: Cucurbita pepo subsp. pepo (vegetable marrow)
Lineage: Eukaryota; Viridiplantae; Streptophyta; Magnoliopsida; Cucurbitales; Cucurbitaceae
Source: RefSeq, a predicted model, not a curated record